CAGCAGCCGCGGUAAUACGAAGGGGGCUAGCGUUGUUCGGAUUUACUGGGCGUAAAGCGCACGUAGGCGGAUUGUUAAGUCAGAGGUGAAAUCCUGGAGCUCAACUCCAGAACUGCCUUUGAUACUGGCAAUCUAGAGUCCGGAAGAGGUAAGUGGAACUCCUAGUGUAGAGGUGGAAUUCGUAGAUAUUAGGAAGAACACCAGUGGCGAAGGCGGCUUACUGGUCCGGUACUGACGCUGAGGUGCGAAAGCGUGGGGAGCAAACAGGAUUAGAUACCCGCGUAGUCCCUGUCUCUUAUAC
Molecule: ribosomal RNA, 301 nt
Filed under: uncultured bacterium
Lineage: Bacteria
Description: partial 16S ribosomal RNA
Rfam family: Bacterial small subunit ribosomal RNA
Source: RNAcentral